GUGCCCUACGGGACGCAGCAGUAGGGAAUAUUGCACAAUGGGGGGAACCCUGAUGCAGCGACGCCGCGUGGGUGAAGGAGCGUUUCGGCGCGUAAAGCCCUAUCGGCAGGGAAGAAGAUGACGGUACCUGACCAAGAAGCCCCGGCUAACUACGUGCCAGCAGCCGCGGUAAUACGUAGGGGGCAAGCGUUAUCCGGAUUUACUGGGGGUAAAGGGGGCGCAGACGGCAAUGCAAGCCAGGGGUGAAAGCCCGGGGCCCAACCCCGGGACUGCUCUUGGAACUGCAUGGCUGGAGUACAGGAGGG
RNAcentral lists this ribosomal RNA (305 nucleotides) under uncultured bacterium. Its description in RNAcentral is "bacterial SSU rRNA". It matches the Rfam family "Bacterial small subunit ribosomal RNA", at positions 334 to 656 of the family's 1533-position model. The record is from RNAcentral.